AUGGUGGGGAAAUCAAUGGGAUUUUGGGGUGGAUUUGGGGCAUUUUGGGGUCAAAUAUGGGAUUUUUGGGGUCUUUAUGGGGUCCUCCUGAUACAGGGGGGGUCAGUGGGAUCUGGAGACCCCAAAAAGGUUCUUUUUGACCCCAAAACUGGGCUGAAAAUGGUCAAUUUUGGGGCAAAAUGGACUGAAAAUGGUGGGGAAAUCAAUGGGAUUUUGGGAUCAAAUAUGGGGUUUUUGGGGUCAGAUAUGGGGUUUUUGGGGUCAGAUAUGGGGUAUUUGGGGUCUUUAUGGGGUCUUCCUUAUAUGGGGGGGGGGUCUAUAGGGUGGAAUGACCCCAAAAAGGUCCUUUUUGACCCCAAAAAUCCCCCCUUUCUUAUAGGGAAGCCCUGGAGGACGAUGCUGGCAAAGCAGGAGGCGACUCGAUCCCAAAGGCCGCCUCACCCAGCGCCACUGGAAAGAGGUAAUGGGGGUUAAUGGGGUUAAUGGGGUUAUGGGGUGGGUUAUGGGGUGGGAUAUGGACUUAAUGGGGUUAUGGGGUGGGAUAUGGGGUUAUGGGGUUAUGGGGUGGGUUAUGGGGUGGGAUAUGGGGUUAAUGGGGUUAUGGGGUUAAUGGGGUUAUGGGGUGGGAUAUGGGGUUAAUGGGGUUAUAGGGUGGGUUAUGGGGUUAUGGGGUUAAUGGGGUUAUGGGGUGGGAUAUGGGGUUAAUGGGGUUAUGGGGUGGGAUAUGGGGUUAAUGGGGUUAUGGGGUGGGUUAUGGGGUUAAUGGGGUUAUGGGGUUAAUGGGGUUAUGGGGUGGGAUAUGGGGGUUAUGGGGUUUAUGGGGUUAAUGGGGUUAUAGGGUGGGUUAUGGGGUUAAUGGGGUUAUGGGGUGGGAUAUGGGGUUAAUGGGGUUAUGGGGUUUAUGGGGUGCCAAGCGAAGAUUUUGGGCUGAAAAUGGGGGGAAAUCAUGGGGUUUUUGGGGUGGAUUUGGGGCAUUUUGGGGUCAAUGAUGGGUGGUUUUGGGGUUAAAUGUGGGGUUUUUUGGGUCUUCCUUAUAUGGGAAGGGGAUCCUAUAGGGUGGGCCUGAACCCAAAAUGUCUUUUUGACCCCAAAAUUGGCUGAAAAUGGUCCAAUUUUGGGCAAAUGGACUGACCACAAUAUGGGGGGGAUAAUGUAAGUGGUGAUUUUGGGUCGCAAAUAUGGGGUUUUUUGGGUCAGAUAUGGGGUAUUUGGGGUCUUUUUGGGGUUUCUUUUAUGGGGGGGGGGUCAGUGGGAUCUGGAGACCCGCAAUAAAGUCCUUUUUGACCGAAGAUUGGGUCUGAAA
Molecule: long non-coding RNA, 1303 nt
Filed under: Coturnix japonica (Japanese quail)
Lineage: Eukaryota; Metazoa; Chordata; Aves; Galliformes; Phasianidae
Description: lncRNA (ENSCJPG00005006486.1)
Source: RNAcentral